CGAAUGCUGACGUGAGUAACGACAAAACGGGUGAAAAACCCGUUCGCCGAAAGACCAAGGGUUCCAGUCCAACGUUAAUCGGGGCUGGGUGAGUCGACCCCUAAGGCGAGGCCGAAAGGCGUAGUCGCUAUCAGAUCUCAGCAUAGAGUACCCCGGAUUUGCCUAAGAUACAUGCCUACAUCCUUUCACCUGGACAACCAACGCCAGGCUGAUUUAGCCUUCUCCGUCCUCUCAUCGCAUUACACAGAAGUAA
Molecule: ribosomal RNA, 253 nt
Filed under: Acinetobacter baumannii
Lineage: Bacteria; Pseudomonadati; Pseudomonadota; Gammaproteobacteria; Moraxellales; Moraxellaceae
Description: partial 23S ribosomal RNA
Rfam family: Bacterial large subunit ribosomal RNA
Source: RNAcentral